RNAcentral lists this ribosomal RNA (501 nucleotides) under uncultured bacterium. RNAcentral describes it as "partial 16S ribosomal RNA". It matches the Rfam family "Bacterial small subunit ribosomal RNA", at positions 30 to 523 of the family's 1533-position model. The record is from RNAcentral.
AUUGAACGCUGGCGGCAGGCUUAACACAUGCAAGUCGAGCGGGGGAAGGUAGCUUGCUACCGGACCUAGCGGCGGACGGGUGAGUAAUGCUUAGGAAUCUGCCUAUUAGUGGGGGACAACAUCUCGAAAGGGAUGCUAAUACCGCAUACGUCCUACGGGAGAAAGCAGGGGAUCUUCGGACCUUGCGCUAAUAGAUGAGCCUAAGUCGGAUUAGCUAGUUGGUGGGGUAAAGGCCUACCAAGGCAACGAUCUGUAGCGGGUCUGAGAGGAUGAUCUGCCACACUGGGACUGAGACACGGCCCAGACUCCUACGGGAGGCAGCAGUGGGGAAUAUUGGACAAUGGGGGGAACCCUGAUCCAGCCAUGCCGCGUGUGUGAAGAAGGCCUUAUGGUUGUAAAGCACUUUAGGCGAGGAGGAGGCUACUUUAGUUAAUACCUAGAGAUAGUGGACGUUACUCGCAGAAUAAGCACCGGCUAACUCUGUGCCAGCCGCCGCCGUAA